Molecule: ribosomal RNA, 497 nt
Filed under: uncultured bacterium
Lineage: Bacteria
Description: partial 16S ribosomal RNA
Rfam family: Bacterial small subunit ribosomal RNA
Source: RNAcentral
GAUGAACGCUGGCGGCGUGCCUAAUACAUGCAAGUCGAGCGAACGGACGAGGAGCUUGCUUCUCUGAUGUUAGCGGCGGACGGGUGAGUAACACGUGGAUAACCUACCUAUAAGACUGGGAUAACUUCGGGAAACCGGAGCUAAUACCGGAUAAUAUAUUGAACCGCAUGGUUCAAUAGUGAAAGACGGUUUUGCUGUCACUUAUAGAUGGAUCCGCGCCGCAUUAGCUAGUUGGUAAGGUAACGGCUUACCAAGGCGACGAUGCGUAGCCGACCUGAGAGGGUGAUCGGCCACACUGGAACUGAGACACGGUCCAGACUCCUACGGGAGGCAGCAGUAGGGAAUCUUCCGCAAUGGGCGAAAGCCUGACGGAGCAACGCCGCGUGAGUGAUGAAGGUCUUCGGAUCGUAAAACUCUGUUAUUAGGGAAGAACAAAUGUGUAAGUAACUAUGCACGUCUUGACGGUACCUAAUCAGAAAGCCACGGCUAACUACGUG